Molecule: ribosomal RNA, 585 nt
Filed under: uncultured bacterium
Lineage: Bacteria
Description: partial 16S ribosomal RNA
Rfam family: Bacterial small subunit ribosomal RNA
Source: RNAcentral
UGGGGAAUUUUGGACAAUGGGCGAAAGCCUGAUCCAGCAAUGCCGCGUGUGUGAAGAAGGCCUUCGGGUUGUAAAGCACUUUUGUCCGGAAAGAAAUCCUCUGGGUUAAUACCUCGGGGGGAUGACGGUACCGGAAGAAUAAGCACCGGCUAACUACGUGCCAGCAGCCGCGGUAAUACGUAGGGUGCAAGCGUUAAUCGGAAUUACUGGGCGUAAAGCGUGCGCAGGCGGUUUUGUAAGACGGAUGUGAAAUCCCCGGGCUUAACCUGGGAACUGCAUUCGUGACUGCAAGGCUAGAGUAUGGCAGAGGGGGGUAGAAUUCCACGUGUAGCAGUGAAAUGCGUAGAGAUGUGGAGGAAUACCGAUGGCGAAGGCAGCCCCCUGGGCCAAAUACUGACGCUCAUGCACGAAAGCGUGGGGAGCAAACAGGAUUAGAUACCCUGGUAGUCCACGCCCUAAACGAUGUCAACUAGUUGUUGGGGAUUCAUUUCCUUAGUAACGUAGCUAACGCGUGAAGUUGACCGCCUGGGGAGUACGGUCGCAAGAUUAAAACUUAAAUGAAUUGACGGGGUCAUAGCUGUUUCC